Molecule: ribosomal RNA, 314 nt
Filed under: uncultured bacterium
Lineage: Bacteria
Description: bacterial SSU rRNA
Rfam family: Bacterial small subunit ribosomal RNA
Source: RNAcentral
AAUCAACGCUGGCGGCGUGCCUCAGACAUGCAAGUCGAACGAUUAAAGCUCUCUUCGGAGAGUGUAUAGAGUGGCGCACGGGUGAGUAACACGUAAGUAAUCUACCUUUGAGUGGGAAUAACGUCCGGAACGGACGCUAAUACCGCAUAAUGCAGCGGCAUCGCAAGAUGACAGUUAUUAAAGAUUUAUCGCUUGAGAGGAGCUUGCGGCAGAUAGCUAGUUGGUAAGGUAAUGGCUUACCAAGGCUACGAUCUGUAACCGGUCUAAGAGGACGGUCGGUCACACUGACACUGAAUAACGGGUCAGACUCCUAC